UGACACGGGGUGCCUGAGAGGCUGAGAGUAAACCCGUAGAACCUGAUCCAGCUCGUACUGGCGGAGGGAUUG
RNAcentral lists this non-coding RNA (72 nucleotides) under Corynebacterium bouchesdurhonense. Its description in RNAcentral is "TPP riboswitch (THI element)". It matches the Rfam family "TPP riboswitch aptamer (THI element)", at positions 9 to 90 of the family's 105-position model. Rfam says of the family: Vitamin B(1) in its active form thiamin pyrophosphate (TPP) is an essential coenzyme that is synthesised by coupling of pyrimidine and thiazole moieties in bacteria. The previously detected thiamin-regulatory element, thi box was extended, resulting in a new, highly conserved RNA secondary structure, the THI element, which is widely distributed in eubacteria and also occurs in some archaea. Lineage: Bacteria; Bacillati; Actinomycetota; Actinomycetes; Mycobacteriales; Corynebacteriaceae. The record is from RNAcentral.